Cynocephalus volans (Philippine flying lemur) is the source of this 106-nucleotide small nuclear RNA. NCBI's taxonomy places the organism in Eukaryota, Metazoa, Chordata, Mammalia, Dermoptera, Cynocephalidae. The record is from RefSeq and is a predicted model, not a curated record.
GUGCUUGCUUUGGCAGCACAUACGUAAAGCUGGAACAAAACAGAGAAGAUCAGCAUGGCUCCUGUGCAAGAAUGACACCCAAAUUCAUGAAGUGUUCCAUAUUAAA